CCCUUUUCUUUCUUUUUUUCCUUUUCAAUUUUCUGCAUUAACAAUUAAAGCAUUGAAUACCAAUUACUAAAAAUUAAUUAAAAAAUAAAUAAAAACACAGUUAACACCGUAUUUUAAGUACUAUUAUAUUUUUUUUCCUUUCCCUUUCCUGAAUUUUAGGUUCAGACUUGAAGUUUUGAAUGUCAAUUAAAAAAUUAAAUCAAAAUUAAAACAAGGGUUGUUGGCAUGCUCAUUCUUCUGGCUAUCUUUUUUCAUUUACGGAUCCGCCAUUGGUGAAGUACUGAAACAUGGGAUGAUUCUUACAUCUCAAAUUUUUUUAUGUCUUGCUCGGCAAUGAAAUGCCAAGAUUAAUCUUGGAAAAUGAAAGAAGCAACAAUCAUGAGAUUCGAAAUCGCUAAAUGGCGCCUGGAGGACGGUGGAUCUUGCGAGGGCAAAUUUGUUGUCCUGGUUCAGAAACGGCAGUGCAACACAGAAGCUAGGAGGAGGUUGGGACUGAGGAGCGAUGAAUGAAAGAAGAAGGAAAGGGUAUUUACUAUUUAGUAACAUAAAUAUACCAUAUAUUAAUACUACUAGUAUUAAAUACUGCAUUCUUUUUUCUUUUGAAAAAACAAACAAAAAUAGUGAAACCGGUUUCACUUACAAGUGGCAGUAAAAAGCAACUUUCCUAUGGUGGGAAAGUCUUCCUCCUACCCACCCUAAAUGCCACCGUGUAUGAGGUGUGUGUUCACAUGGGAAAGGUUAAUCCUUUCCCACCAUGGGAAAGUUGAAUUCAAUGAUUAGAUUAAGUGAAGAACAUAUUCUUAACAUGAUCUCUCAACACUAGAUUUUUCUUCACACUAUCUUCCAAC
This 848-nucleotide long non-coding RNA is filed under the name Medicago truncatula (barrel medic). Its description in RNAcentral is "long non-coding RNA (MTRU_LNC005460)". Lineage: Eukaryota; Viridiplantae; Streptophyta; Magnoliopsida; Fabales; Fabaceae. The record is from RNAcentral.